Molecule: ribosomal RNA, 374 nt
Filed under: uncultured bacterium
Lineage: Bacteria
Description: bacterial SSU rRNA
Rfam family: Bacterial small subunit ribosomal RNA
Source: RNAcentral
AGAGUUUGAUCCUGGCUCAGAUUGAACGCUGGCGGCAUGCUUUACACAUGCAAGUCGAACGGCAGCACGGGUGCUUGCACCUGGUGGCGAGUGGCGAACGGGUGAGUAAUGCACCGGAACGUACCCAGUAAUGGGGGAUAACACAUCGAAAGAUGUGCUAAUACCGCAUACGCCCUGAGGGGGAAAGCGGGGGAUCGUAAGACCUCGCGUUAUUGGAGCGGCCGAUGCCGGAUUAGCUAGUUGGUGAGGUAAGAGCUCACCAAGGCGACGAUCCGUAGCUGGUCUGAGAGGACGACCAGCCACUUAGAGACUGAGACACGGCCCAGACUCCUACGGGAGGCAGCAGUGGGGAAUUUUGGACAAUGGGCGCAAGC